Molecule: long non-coding RNA, 553 nt
Organism: Myxocyprinus asiaticus (Chinese sucker)
Lineage: Eukaryota; Metazoa; Chordata; Actinopteri; Cypriniformes; Catostomidae
Exons: 3
Source: RefSeq, a predicted model, not a curated record
UCUGUUGCAAUAUAUAUUCUAAGUUUAAAAAUUUCUCCAAAAAUUUGGCUCCCACAAGAUGGGUAGGAUUUAGACUCAUAAGAAGAGUAAAUAUGGGUGUGAUUUUAUCUUGGCUUUGAUUCUCAGAUGCAUCUCUGCUGGCUAAAUAAUCUUGUGUAUCCUGGCUGUGUGGAAAAUGCAUGAACUACUAUUAAAGGAUUAGGCUAAUGGCAAUAUAUAGACCUCAGAAGCGAUAACUCACCUGUCCAGCAGUAUCGUACAAUCCCAGCAAGUGCUGUCUCCCAGAUACAGUUACAUUUACUGAAAAGAAAAACAAGAACUCUGGACCUGCUGUUUGGUUGUGUGUGGGAAUCGAGAAUGAUUUAGAACAGGACAGCUGUCAAAAGCAAGGGGUGAAUGCUCUUGGAAAAGAGGGAGGGAAAAGCUCUGUGUGUAUGUGUGUGCAUAGCAUAUUUCAUUCUUUGAACGGCAGUUGACACAACUAAGAGGAAAAGACCCAGACAAGCCAGUACUUUUAGUAUUUUACCGGUAUUUUACUUUUUUUUUUUCUUUU